CCCUUGUCUUCACACUCAUUGAAAUCGGCUUUAAUAUUGCAAAAGUUCAAGCAAUUAGGGCAAAACUUACCGAGUAAAAAAAAUCAAAAUGUCUAUCUACAUGGUUUUUUGUACUUUGCACAUUUCAGAAAAUUCAGAUCAGAUAACGAAACUGGGUCCAGCAACAUUUAUAAGCAAUUUAAGAUUUUGACCCUCACAGUUUCCAUUCACCACAA
Molecule: long non-coding RNA, 215 nt
Filed under: Mytilus galloprovincialis (Mediterranean mussel)
Lineage: Eukaryota; Metazoa; Mollusca; Bivalvia; Mytilida; Mytilidae
Source: RNAcentral